This 73-nucleotide transfer RNA is filed under the name Sonchus micranthus. RNAcentral's name for it is "Dendroseris micrantha tRNA-Met". It matches the Rfam family "tRNA". From Rfam's summary of the family: Transfer RNA (tRNA) molecules are approximately 80 nucleotides in length. Their secondary structure includes four short double-helical elements and three loops (D, anti-codon, and T loops). The record is from RNAcentral. Lineage: Eukaryota; Viridiplantae; Streptophyta; Magnoliopsida; Asterales; Asteraceae.
ACCUACUUAACUCAGCGGUUAGAGUAUUUCUUUCAUACGGCGGGAGUCAUUGGUUCAAAUCCAAUAGUAGGUA